CGGGUGGUAAUGCCGGAUGCUCCAGUUGGAUGCAUGUCCUUCUGGGAAAGAUUCAUCGGUAUGGGAUGGGGUCGCGUCCUAUCAGCUUGAUGGCGGGGUAACGGCCCACCAUGGCUUCGACGGGUAGCCGGCCUGAGAGGGCGACCGGCCACAUUGGGACUGAGAUACGGCCCAGACUCCUACGGGAGGCAGCAGUGGGGAAUAUUGCACAAUGGGCGCAAGCCUGAUGCAGCGACGCCGCGUGCGGGAUGACGGCCUUCGGGUUGUAAACCGCUUUUGACUGGGAGCAAGCCCUUCGGGGUGAGUGUACCUUUCGAAUAAGCACCGGCUAACUACGUGCCAGCAGCCGCGGUAAUACGUAGGGUGCAAGCGUUAUCCGGAAUUAUUGGGCGUAAAGGGCUCGUAGGCGGUUCGUCGCGUCCGGUGUGAAAGUCCAUCGCUUAACGGUGGAUCCGCGCCGGGUACGGGCGGGCUUGAGUGCGGUAGGGGAGACUGGAAUUCCCGGUGUAACGGUGGAAUGUGUAGAUAUCGGAAAGAACACCA
Molecule: ribosomal RNA, 543 nt
Filed under: Bifidobacterium adolescentis
Lineage: Bacteria; Bacillati; Actinomycetota; Actinomycetes; Bifidobacteriales; Bifidobacteriaceae
Description: bacterial SSU rRNA
Rfam family: Bacterial small subunit ribosomal RNA
Source: RNAcentral